GGUUGGUACAACGAGUUGCGAGUCGGUGACGGCGAGCUAAUCUACUUAAAGCCAAUCUCAGUUCGGAUUGUAGGCUGCAACUCGCCUACAUGAAGUCGGAAUCGCUAGUAAUCGCGGAUCAGCACGCCGCGGUGAAUACGUUCCCGGGCCUU
This 152-nucleotide ribosomal RNA is filed under the name uncultured Streptococcus sp. RNAcentral describes it as "partial 16S ribosomal RNA". It matches the Rfam family "Bacterial small subunit ribosomal RNA", at positions 1232 to 1382 of the family's 1533-position model. The record is from RNAcentral. Lineage: Bacteria; Bacillati; Bacillota; Bacilli; Lactobacillales; Streptococcaceae.